AGUGAAUAGAUACCCGGGUAGUCCACGCCGUAAACGAUGCGCACAAGGUUCACGAGACUCUGACGUCGAGUGAGCCGAAAAACAAAAGUGUUAAGUGCGCCGCCUGGGGAGUACGGCCGCAAGGCUAAAACUCAAAGGAAUUGACGGGGGCUCACACAAGCGGUGGAGCAUGUGGCUUAAUUCGAAGCAACGCGAAGAACCUGACCUGGGUUUGACAUGCAAGGAUUAGUUCUGUGAAAGCAGAAUGACGCGGCUUGCCGUGGAACUUGCACAGGUGCUGCAUGGCUGUCGUCAGCUCGUGUCGUGAGAUGUCGGGUUAAGUCCCCUAACGAGCGAAACCCUUGUCGCUAGUUGCUAACGGGUAAAGCUGAGCACUUUAGCGAGACUGCCGGUGUUAAACCGGAGGAAGGUGGGGAUGACGUCAAGUCCUCAUGGCCUUUAUGCCCAGGGCUGCACACGUGCUACAAUGGGAAGGUACAGAGCGAUGCGAAGCCGCGAGGCGGAGCAAAUCGCAG
Molecule: ribosomal RNA, 515 nt
Filed under: uncultured bacterium
Lineage: Bacteria
Description: bacterial SSU rRNA
Rfam family: Bacterial small subunit ribosomal RNA
Source: RNAcentral